This 808-nucleotide ribosomal RNA is filed under the name Arthroderma quadrifidum. RNAcentral describes it as "eukaryotic LSU rRNA". It matches the Rfam family "Eukaryotic large subunit ribosomal RNA", at positions 85 to 912 of the family's 3401-position model. The record is from RNAcentral. Lineage: Eukaryota; Fungi; Ascomycota; Eurotiomycetes; Onygenales; Arthrodermataceae.
AACGGCGAGUGAAGCGGCAAAAGCUCAAAUUUGAUAUCUGGCUCCUUAGGGGUCCGAGUUGUAAUUUGUAGAGGAUGCUUCGGGUGCGGCCACGGCCUAAGUUCCUUGGAACAGGACGUCAUAGAGGGUGAGAAUCCCGUCUUGGGUCGUUGGUCCACGCCCGUGUGAAGCUCCUUCGACGAGUCGAGUUGUUUGGGAAUGCAGCUCUAAGCGGGUGGUAAAUUUCAUCUAAAGCUAAAUAUUGGCCGGAGACCGAUAGCGCACAAGUAGAGUGAUCGAAAGGUUAAAAGCACCUUGAAAAGGGAGUUAAACAGCACGUGAAAUUGUUGAAAGGGAAGCGCUUGCGGCCAGACUCAGGCGCAGGGUUCAGCGGGUGCGUGUCACCCGUGCACUCCCUGCCGCCUGGGCCAGCAUCAGUUCUGACGGCCGGUCAAAGGCCCCCGGAAUGUGUCGUCUCUCGGGACGUCUUAUAGCCGGGGGUGCAAUGCGGCCCGUCGGGACUGAGGAACGCGCUUCGGCUCGGAUGCUGGCAUAAUGGCCGUAAGCGGCCCGUCUUGAAACACGGACCAAGGAGUCUAACAUCCACGCGAGUGUUCGGGUGUCAAACCCGUGCGCGCAGUGAAAGCGAACGGAGGUGGGAGCCUUAGGGCGCACCAUCGACCGAUCCUGAAGUCUUCGGAUGGAUUUGAGUAGGAGCGUGGCCGUUGGGACCCGAAAGAUGGUGAACUAUGCCUGAAUAGGGUGAAGCCAGAGGAAACUCUGGUGGAGGCUCGCAGCGGUUCUGACGUGCAAAUCGAUCGUCAAAUUU